GACGAACGCUGGCGGCGUGCUUAACACAUGCAAGUCGUGCGGUAACAGGCGUAGCAAUACGUGCUGACGAGCGGCGAACGGGUGCGUAAUACAUGGGAAUCUGCCUUUUAGUGGGGAAUAACCCGGCGAAAGCCGGGCUAAUGCCGCAUAAGAUCUUCGGAUGAAAGCGGGGGAUCGUAAGACCUCGCGCUGAUAGAUGAGCCCAUGCCGGAUUAGCUAGUGGUGAGGUAACGGCUCACCAAGGCGACGAUCCGUAGCUGGUCUGAGAGGACGGCCAGCCACACUGGGACUGAGACACGGCCCAGACUCCUACGGGAGGCAGCAGUGGGGAAUAUUGGACAAUGGGCGAAAGCCUGAUCCAGCGACGCCGCGUGUGUGAAGAAGGCCU
This 388-nucleotide ribosomal RNA is filed under the name uncultured bacterium. RNAcentral describes it as "bacterial SSU rRNA". It matches the Rfam family "Bacterial small subunit ribosomal RNA", at positions 28 to 417 of the family's 1533-position model. The record is from RNAcentral.